UAUAGCUGUUUCAAUAAUUAGGUCUUUCCACCUUUCCGUGGAAAGACCUAUUGAAUUUGUUCUGAUUAUUAUUAUUAUUAUUAUUUUUUUUUUUUUCUUCCGCCUAAUUUUUUUUCUUGCGUAUUAUUGAUGUUUCAAAAGAUGUCGCUUAGAUAUUUGGAAUAUGGUAUCGUAUAGUUUAUACGCUUUAAAACUUUACAACUGUGUAACAAAAUACUUUACGUUGUAAGAGUUAUCUCCCAAACACUGUUUUUCUUGUGGCCACUACUCCUUCGCAACCGUUAAAGAUUACGACAAAUUUAUUUUACCAAAUUGCUCGUUACAUCUUCAGGAUUAGGAUAUUCAUUUGGACCGAAGCUUUACGGAGACUCCAUAUGAGAGUUAUUCCCCCUUUUCCAUUUAAUUAAGUGAUAUGCAUUUCUAAAUGGUAAACCAUAAGUAAUAAAGACAUAGGGUCUUUAGAUUUGGGGUCCUUGGUCGAAAAUAAUAAAAAUGAGGUCAAGGUCAAAGGUCAAGGUCAUAUUCUAAAUUUUUGAUUUUGGCUUAUUUUCAUUUAUUUUCAAAUACCUUAUGACAUAUCGACAAAUAAUUUUUCAUAAAUUGUUAGUUGCGACAUGUCCUUACUUGUAUAUUUUGAUUGAAAGGGUGCGCAGACAAUAAAUGGGAGUUUUUGCCCAUCUUACAUUUAGAAUUACGCGUAAAGUGAUAUUACUAAUAAACCAAACAUAUUAAAGACCUUGGGUCUUUUGAUUUAAGGUCCUUGGUUUGUGAACUUGAAAUUGAGGUCAAGGUCAUAGGUUGAUAUGACGUUCUAGAUUUUGACCUUUGCUUUAAAUUCAUAUAAAUACAUCAUAAAGCCAUAGGAACUAACAUUUUAAACUGAUUUUUAAUAUUUCAAUAUCAAAAUAGAUCUUUACUAGUGGAAAGACCUACAAUUGUUCUCUGAACAAUUGGUUUUUAAUU
This 963-nucleotide long non-coding RNA is filed under the name Mytilus galloprovincialis (Mediterranean mussel). Lineage: Eukaryota; Metazoa; Mollusca; Bivalvia; Mytilida; Mytilidae. The record is from RNAcentral.